CUCUCUCUGUUUCUUCGAGAAAACAGAGAGAAGCGGUGGGGCGUGGGGAGAAGAAGAAGAGAAGUAGAGGGAGAAGAGAAGAAGAGGGAAAAGAAGAGAGGAAGAAGAGGAAGAAGAGGGAGAAGAGAAGAAAAGAAGAAGUAGAAGAGAGGGAAGAUGGAGAGGAGAAAGAGAGGCAGCUGCAGCAGCUAGGGCUGCAGCACCUCUGUUUCCCGCAGGUGGAAACAGAGGAGAGGAUGUGUGGGGCGUUGAGGAUGAAAAGGGCAGAAGAAGAAGAAGAAGAAGAGGAAGAAGAAGAAGAAGAAGAAGUGAGGAGGAUAGCUGCGGCAAGGCUACAGCGAGGAGAUGUGUGGCUUUGGGAGGAAAAGGGAAGAGGAGAAGAAGAGAAGGAGAAGAAGAGGGAAAAGAGAGGGAAGACGGAGAGGAGCGAGAGGUGGCAGCAGCUAGGGCUGCAGCACCUCUGUUUCCUGCAGGUGGAAACAGAGGAGACGUGUCGGGUGUCGGGUAGGAGAAGAGCAGAAGAAGAAGAAGAGGAUGAGAAGAAGAAGAGGAAGCAGGAGAAGAGGUUGUGAUACCUCUGUUCCCUAUAGAGGAAACAGAGGAGAGGGUGUUUGUGACGCCGAGAAGAAGAAGGGGAGGAAGGAGAAGAAGAGAAGAAGAAGAAAGGAAGGUGAAGGAAGAGGAGAAGGGAAAGAAGUAGCUGCGGCUGCGGCUAUGGCAGCUGCAGCUUUGGCAGGGAAAGAGGAAGAGAAAGGAAGAAGGGAAGGAGAGGAAGAAGAGAAGGGAAAGAAGGGGCUGCGGCUGCGGCGAUGGCAGCUGCAGUUGGAAGAGAAGAAGGAGAGGAAGAUGAGCAGGGGAGGAAGAAGAGGUUGUGGCUGUGGCUGAGGCUGCGACUGCAGCAGUGCAGCUGGGAAAGAAGAGAAGGAAAGGAAGAAGAAGAGAAAGGAAAAGGGAAGAAGAGAGGAAGAGGAAAAGGGGAGGCAGCUGUGGCAGUGGCAGCUGCAGCUGGAAGAGAAGGAGAGGAAAUAGAGUAGGGGAGAAAGAAGAGGCUGCGGCUGUGGUGGCUGCGGCCAUGGUUGCGACUGCGACUGCGGCAGUUGCAGCUGGGAAACAAAAGAAAGGAAAGGGGGAAAAAGGGGCUGCGGACGGGAUUGCGGCCGCAGCGGCAGCGACUGCAUAUGCUGCAGUUAUGUCUGCGAGAGAAGGGAGGAAGGAAGGUAGUGCGGUGGAAGGGGCUGCGAUUGUGGCAGCGGCAGCGGCGGCGGCUGUGGCAGCUGCGUUUGGGAAAGAAAAAGAAGGAAUGAGAGUAAGAGAGAGCAGGUGACUGUGCCUCGAUGUUCAACACGUGGUGUAGUUGCGAAGAAAGGAAGAAAACGGGAGCACAAAAUGAAACAGAGAGAGGACACGGAGGAAAAGUAGAAGGAUUUGAGCUGGCACCUUCUUUGGAUCUUCGGAUCGAAAUCUUUGAAAAGAUAGCGUAUUGCUUGCUUAAAUGUUAAGAUUGGGCUGAGGCGGUGGAAAGUUUAGAAGAUUUUGGGCAGAUCUUUGUUAGCAUAUGUGUAUUUGUUGUAUAAGAUACUCUGCAUCUUAUGAAAUGUGACGAUGAAUCUAAACCUGUGGAUUUUGUGUAAGAUAAAGGAUCCCUCAUGUAUAGGAUUUUGGAAUGUUAAGUUAAAUUCAUGUAAUGAUAUGAUCUUAUGGUAAUCGUUGGUUUGGUGACUGCAUAGACUUCCCCACUUGUGAAUUUAUGUUGUGGUUAUUAUUUUGAUGUGUUGGGUUCAGAUUGUAUGAAUUAUCGAGUGAUGUGUGGUAUGUUUAUGAAUUGCACAGGGUUAUGAAUUUGUAGUUUAUAGAGGUGAAAUUUUGAUCUGAAUGUUUUCUUAGUGACCUCAAAUGUGUGUUUGGAUCCUGGGUUAGUUAUGAUGAAAAUUUUAAAUAUUGUCGAUAUUUUGAGGGGCGUGACAAAGGUGGUAUCAAAGCAUUGUUUGAGGAUUACUGAAAUAUUUGAUAUGUUGACGUGCAAAAUAUAUUGAGGUCUAAUGAACUAUAGUGAUUGGUGGAAAUUUUCUUUGAUGCAUUUUAGGAAUAUGGGAUGAUGAGGACAUUUGGUCCUCCUAUUUCAUUUGUUUCUGAUUAAUUAAGGGGAAUGAAAAGAUUGAUUGGGGAUAUUGAAUCAGAGUGGCGCAGCAGAAGCAUGAUGAACCUAAUUUCAUUGGUGGUAGAAAAAAUGGAUGAUGCAAAUGGAGAAGAUAUUUGAUAUAUAAAAUUGUUCUAAUGAUCAAAAGAUUUCUUUUGCUACCUUAUAUUGGAAGUAGAGGCUGAUUAUUAUUGGCAACAAUGAAAAGAAUUUUUGGAGAUAUGUGGCAAGAAUGAUAAGGAUAAGUUUAGCAAUAAAAAUAUGAUUGGAAAUGAAUCAGAAAGUAAUAACAAGAGGGUCAAGACCUUUGGAUUUGAAAUGGGAGGUCACCACAAAAGACUCAAUCAUGUGUGAAUUAUAAGUUAAAUUAUGAAACAAAUUUGUGUUUCGGGUGACUGGAGUCUAUUUUGCUUGUAGAAAGUUGGAUCAUGAAAUAAAAGACUGCCCUUUGAACAAGAAGAAAGAGUCGCUGCCUCAUAAACCAUCAACCCAUGUCAGAGUGUAUGCUAUCACUGAAUAUGAUUCUGAAACUUCUGAAAUUAGUGACCGAAUGUAUUAUGCAUAUUUACGAAAGAAUGCAAAUAUUUGUUUGACCAUGGGUCCCAUCUAUGAUUUGAUUCAGAACAUUUUGCCUAUCACUUGGGUAUUCAACCUAGACCACUACAUUAUGUGCUAUAUGUAAAUACGAUCAUUGGAGAUUCUUUGAUAACGAACUUGAAUCUGGUCCUCUUGUCUGAUUUUAUUGGAGAACUUAAACUUUUGCUGAUUUAGUUCUCCUAGAGAUUUGGAGUUAUGAUAUUAUACUUGGUAUGGAUUGACUAUCUUCUUAUCAUACCAGUAUGGAUUGGUAAAUAACAAAUGAUCACUUUUUGCAUAUUUGAUCAGCCGAUCUUUUAUUUUGAGAGUAUUGGACAUUAUUUAUCUCCUUGCCUAAUGUAUCCCAGGAUGACUUGUUUGGAUUACCUCCAAAUGUGAUUUUGCUUUUGAUUUGGUCCUUGGGAUAAUCCUAAAAUCUAAGCCUCUCUACAGAAUGAUAUCAUUGAGUAAGUGGAAUUAGAAAAAUAACUACAAGGAUUAUUAAAUGAGGAUUUUAUUUGGCUUAAUAUUUUAUCAUGGGGUGCUCUGGUGUUAGUUAAAAAGAUGGAUGGAACAUUGAGGCUUUGUAUUGAUUAUGGAUAGUUGAAUCAGGUGAUCAUCAAAAACGAGUAUUUUUCUGAAGUAACGACUUGCUUGAUUAAUUACAAGGUGUGCAAGUAUUUUUAGAAAUUGAUUGAAGGUCGGGUUACCGUCUAUUGAGGAUCAAGGAGGAGAAUAUUUCGAUCACUCUUGGAUAAUUAUGUCAUUAUAUUGUAUUGAUGAAACUAUUUGAGAGCAGGAGGAGGAAAUAAAGAAAUCAUAAUCAUCAUCUUUUCAUCGAUUGAGCUAUGAUCAAUUUAGAGGACUAAAUUUUCUUUUAAGGAGGGGAGAGUGUAAUAUCCCUCACUUUUAUAAAUUAUUAAUAAAGAUUUAUUUAUAAAUCGGAGGACCUAUAGGUAAAUAUGGAAAUUUCAAGGACUAAACUGGUAAGUUGUAAAAAGAAGAAAAUAAAGAAAACCGAAAAUUUCGGUUUUAUCCCACUGCCUCCCACGCUCUCUCUGUUUCUUCGAGAAAACAGAGAGAAGCGGUGGGGCGUGGGGAGAAGAAGAAGAGAAGUAGAGGGAGAAGAGAAGAAGAGGGAAAAGAAGAGAGGAAGAAGAGGAAGAAGAGGGAGAAGAGAAGAAAAGAAGAAGUAGAAGAGAGGGAAGAUGGAGAGGAGAAAGAGAGGCAGCUGCAGCAGCUAGGGCUGCAGCACCUCUGUUUCCCGCAGGUGGAAACAGAGGAGAGGAUGUGUGGGGCGUUGAGGAUGAAAAGGGAAGAAGAAGAAGAAGAAGAAGAAGAGGAAGAAGAAGAAGAAGAAGAAGUGAGGAGGAUAGCUGCGGCAAGGUUGCAGCGAGGAGAUGUGUGGCUUUGGGAGGAAAAGGGAAGAGGAGAAGAAGAGAAGGAGAAGAAGAGGGAAAAGAGAGGGAAGAUGGAGAGGAGCGAGAGGUGGCAGCAGCUAGGGCUGCAGCACCUCUGUUUCUUGCAGGUGGAAACAGAGGAGACGUGUGGGGUGUCGGGUAGGAGAAGAGCAGAAGAAGAAGAAGAGGAAGAGAAGAAGAAGAGGAAGCAGGAGAAGAGGUUGUGAUACCUCUGUUCCCUGCAAAGGAAACAGAGGAGAGGGUGUGUGUGACGCCGAGAAGAAGAAGGGGAGGAAGGAGAAGAAGAGAAGAAGAAGAAAGGAAGGAGAAGGAAGAGGAGAAGGGAAAGAAGUAGCUGCGGCUGCGGCUGUGGCAGCUGCAGCUAUGGCAGGGAAAGAGGAAGAGAAAGGAAGAAGGGAAGGAGAGGAAGAAGAGAAGGGAAAGAAGGGGCUGCGGCUGCGGCGAUGGCAGCUGCAGUUGGAAGAGAAGAAGGAGAGGAAGAUGAGCAGGGGAGGAAGAAGAGGCUGUGGCUGUGGCUGAGGCUGCGACUGCAGCAGUGCAGCUGGGAAAGAAGAGAAGGAAAGGAAGAAGAAGAGAAAGGAAAAGGGAAGAAGAGAGGAAGAGGAAAAGGGGAGGCAGCUGUGGCAGUGGCAGCUGCAGUUGGAAGAGAAGGAGAGGAAAUAGAGUAGGGGAGAAAGAAGAGGCUGCGGCUGUGGUGGCUGCGGCCAUGGUUGCGACUGCGACUGCGGUAGUUGCAGCUGGGAAACAAAAGAAAGGAAAGGGGGAAAAAGGAGCUGCGGACGGGAUUACGGCCGCAGCGGCAGCGACUGCGUAUGCAGCAAUUAUGUCUGCGAGAGAAGGGAGGAAGGAAGGUAGUGCGGUGGAAGGGGCUACGAUUGUGGCAGCGGCGGUGGCUGUGGCAGCUGCGUUUGGGAAAGAAAAAGAAGGAAUGAGAGUAAGAGAGAGCAGGUGACUGUGCCUCGAUGUUCGACACGUGGUGUAGUUGCGAAGAAAGGAAGAAAACGAGAGCACAAAACGAAACAGAGAGAGGACACGGAGGAAAAGUAGAAGGAUUUGGGCUGGCACCUUCUUUGGAUCUUCGGAUCGAAAUCUUUGAAAGGCAAGUUCCCUGAUCGUUUCUCCUAUAAUUGCUCUGAUAUGUCUUAUUGCAAGUUCCCUAAUCGUUUCUCCUAUAAUUGCUCUGA
Long non-coding RNA from Musa acuminata AAA Group (dessert banana), 5318 nucleotides. RefSeq lists it as uncharacterized. The record is from RefSeq and is a predicted model, not a curated record. The transcript has 2 exons. Lineage: Eukaryota; Viridiplantae; Streptophyta; Magnoliopsida; Zingiberales; Musaceae.